AUUCUUCGGAUGACAUCUUUUGUGACUUAGUGGCGGACGGGUGAGUAACGCGUGGGUAACCUGCCUCACACAGGGGGAUAACAGUUAGAAAUGACUGCUAAUACCGCAUAACCCGAUAGGAUCGCAUGAUCCAGACGGAAAAGAUUUAUCGGUGUGAGAUGGACCCGCGUCUGAUUAGCUAGUUGGUGAGGUAACGGCCCACCAAGGCGACGAUCAGUAGCCGGCCUGAGAGGGUGAACGGCCACAUUGGGACUGAGACACGGCCCAAACUCC
Molecule: ribosomal RNA, 273 nt
Filed under: uncultured Lachnospiraceae bacterium
Lineage: Bacteria; Bacillati; Bacillota; Clostridia; Lachnospirales; Lachnospiraceae
Description: partial 16S ribosomal RNA
Rfam family: Bacterial small subunit ribosomal RNA
Source: RNAcentral